RNAcentral lists this ribosomal RNA (547 nucleotides) under fungal endophyte. Its description in RNAcentral is "eukaryotic LSU rRNA". It matches the Rfam family "Eukaryotic large subunit ribosomal RNA", at positions 87 to 648 of the family's 3401-position model. Lineage: Eukaryota; Fungi. The record is from RNAcentral.
CGGCGAGGUGAAGCGGCAAGAGCUCAAAUUUUGAAGCUGGCCCCUUCGGGGUCCGCAUUGUAAUUUGCAGAGGAUGCUUCGGGAGCGGCCCCCAUCUAAGUGCCCUGGAACGGGCCGUCAUAGAGGGUGAGAAUCCCGUCUGGGAUGGGGUGCCCGCGCCCGUGUGAAGCUCCUUCGACGAGUCGAGUUGUUUGGGAAUGCAGCUCUAAAUGGGUGGUAAAUUUCAUCUAAAGCUAAAUACUGGCCGGAGACCGAUAGCGCACAAGUAGAGUGAUCGAAAGAUGAAAAGCACUUUGAAAAGAGAGUUAAACAGCACGUGAAAUUGUUGAAAGGGAAGCGCUUGCGACCAGACUCGCUCGCGGGGUUCAGCCGGCCUUCGGGCCGGUGUACUUCCCCGCGGGCGGGCCAGCGUCGGUUUGGGCGGCCGGUCAAAGGCCCUCGGAAUGUAACGCCCCCCGGGGCGUCUUAUAGCCGAGGGUGCCAUGCGGCCAGCCCGGACCGAGGAACGCGCUUCGGCUCGGACGCUGGCAUAAUGGUCGUAAGCGAC